AUUCAGCUGACAAGUCUCAAAUAGGACGAAACGCAUUUCGUACUGGAU
This 48-nucleotide non-coding RNA is filed under the name Schistosoma mansoni. The record is from RNAcentral. Lineage: Eukaryota; Metazoa; Platyhelminthes; Trematoda; Strigeidida; Schistosomatidae.